RNAcentral lists this ribosomal RNA (115 nucleotides) under Alphaproteobacteria bacterium. Lineage: Bacteria; Pseudomonadati; Pseudomonadota; Alphaproteobacteria. The record is from RNAcentral.
CUUGGUGGUUUUCGCGUGCGCGCAACACCCCAUCCCAUUCCGAACUGGACCGUGAAAAGCCACAGCGCCGAUGGUACUCCGUCUUAAGACGCGGGAGAGUAGGUCACUGCCAAGU